AGAGUUUGAUCCUGGCUCAGAACGAACGCUAGCGGCGGGCUUAACACAUGCAAGUCGAACGGCAGCAGGACUUAGCUUGCUAAGUUGCUGGCGAGUGGCGGACGGGUGAGUAAUGCGUAGGAAUCUGUCUUGAAGAGGGGGAUAGCCCGGGGAAACUCGGGCUAAUACCGCAUAGACUUCUGUAAUCUUUUUAAGGUUGAGAGAAGAAAUGAAGGGGAUCUGCAAAGACCUUUCGCUUUAAGUUGAGCCUACGUUGGAUUAGCUAGUUGGUGAGGUAAAAGCUCACCAAAGCGACGAUCCAUAACUGGUUUGAGAGGACGAACAGUCACACUGGGACUGAGACACGGCCCAGACUCCUACGGGAGGCAGCAGUGGGGAAUAUUGGACAAUGGGGGCAACCCUGAUCCAGCGAUGCCGCGUGGAGGAUGACACAUUUCGGUGCGUAAACUCCUUUUAUAUGAGAAGAAAAUGACGGUAUCAUAUGAAUAAGCGCCGGCUAACUCCGUGCCAGCAGCCGCGGUAAUACGGAGGGCGCAAGCGUUAUUCGGAAUCACUGGGCGUAAAGGACGCGUAGGCGGGAUGCCAAGUCUGAUGUGAAAUCCUAUGGCUUAACCAUAGAACUGCAUUGGAAACUGGUACCUUAGAGUAUGGGAGGGGGAGAUGGAAUUUAGUGGUGUAGGGGUAAAAUCCGUAGAUAUCACUAGGAAUACCGAAAGCGAAGGCGAUCUCCUGGAACAAUACUGACGCUAAGGCGUGAAAGCGUGGGGAGCAAACGGGAUUAGAUACCCCGGUAGUCCACGCCCUAAACGAUGUUCACUAGUCGUCGGGAUGCUAGUCAUCUCGGUGAUGCACUUAACAGAUUAAGUGAACCGCCUGGGGAGUACGGUCGCAAGAUUAAAACUCAAAGGAAUAGACGGGGACCCGCACAAGUGGUGGAGCAUGUGGUUUAAUUCGAAGAUACGCGAAGAACCUUACCUAGCCUUGACAUUGAUUGAACGGACCAGAGAUGGACCGGUGCCCUUCGGGGAACAUGAAAACAGGUGCUGCACGGCUGUCGUCAGCUCGUGUCGUGAGAUGUUGGGUUAAGUCCCGCAACGAGCGCAACCCUCGUCCUUAGUUGCCAGCAGGUUAAGCUGGGCACUCUAGGGAGACUGCCUUCGUAAGGAGGAGGAAGGUGAGGACGACGUCAAGUCAUCAUGGCCCUUAUGGCUAGGGCUACACACGUGCUACAAUGGGGCGUACAGAGAGUUGCGAUACCGCGAGGUGGAGCUAAUCUCACAAAGCGUCUCUCAGUUCGGAUUGAAGUCUGCAACUCGACUUCAUGAAGCUGGAAUCACUAGUAAUCGUAGAUCAGCAAUGCUACGGUGAAUACGUUCCCGGGUCUUGUACUCACCGCCCGUCACACCAUGGGAGUUGAUUAUACCCGACGUCGCUGGGCUAACCUGUCUAUUUAUAGAUGGGAGGCAAGCGCCUAAGGUAUGGUUGAUAAUUGGGGUGAAGUCGUAACAAGGUAACC
Molecule: ribosomal RNA, 1516 nt
Filed under: uncultured bacterium
Lineage: Bacteria
Description: bacterial SSU rRNA
Rfam family: Bacterial small subunit ribosomal RNA
Source: RNAcentral